This 489-nucleotide ribosomal RNA is filed under the name uncultured bacterium. RNAcentral describes it as "partial 16S ribosomal RNA". It matches the Rfam family "Bacterial small subunit ribosomal RNA", at positions 30 to 506 of the family's 1533-position model. The record is from RNAcentral.
AUUGAACGCUGGCGGCAUGCUUUACACAUGCCAGUCGAACGGCAGCACGAAAGAGCUUGCUCUUUUGGUGGCGAGUGGCGAACGGGUGAGUAAUGCAUCGGAACGUACCGAGUAAUGGGGGAUAACUGUCCGAAAGGAUAGCUAAUACCGCAUACGCUUUGAGAAGGAAAGUGGGGGCUCUUCGGACCUCACGUUAUUCGAGCGGCCGAUGUCUGAUUAGCUAGUUGGUGGGGUAAAGGCCUACCAAGGCGACGAUCAGUAGCGGGUCUGAGAGGAUGAUCCGCCACACUGGGACUGAGACACGGCCCAGACUCCUACGGGAGGCAGCAGUGGGGAAUUUUGGACAAUGGGCGCAAGCCUGAUCCAGCCAUGCCGCGUGUCUGAAGAAGGCCUUCGGGUUGUAAAGGACUUUUGUUAGGGAAGAAAAGGAUAGUGUUAAUACCAUUAUCUGCUGACGGUACCUAAAGAAUAAGCACCGGCUAACUACGU